This 77-nucleotide transfer RNA is filed under the name Campylobacter jejuni. RNAcentral's name for it is "tRNA-Thr". It matches the Rfam family "tRNA". From Rfam's summary of the family: Transfer RNA (tRNA) molecules are approximately 80 nucleotides in length. Their secondary structure includes four short double-helical elements and three loops (D, anti-codon, and T loops). Lineage: Bacteria; Pseudomonadati; Campylobacterota; Epsilonproteobacteria; Campylobacterales; Campylobacteraceae. The record is from RNAcentral.
UGCUGGUUUAGCUCAGUUGGUAGAGCAGCUGCCUUGUAAGCAGCAGGUCGGGGGUUCAAGUCCCUUAACCAGCUCCA